RNAcentral lists this unclassified non-coding RNA (387 nucleotides) under uncultured Entrophospora. RNAcentral describes it as "SSU rRNA". It matches the Rfam family "Eukaryotic small subunit ribosomal RNA", at positions 569 to 962 of the family's 1831-position model. The record is from RNAcentral. Lineage: Eukaryota; Fungi; Glomeromycota; Glomeromycetes; Entrophosporales; Entrophosporaceae.
AGCGGCCGCGGUAAUUCCAGCUCCAAUAGCGUAUAUUAAAGUUGUUGCAGUUAAAAGCUCGUAGUUGAAUUUCGGGGUUAGUAGGUUGGUCAUGCCUCUGGUAUGUACUGGUCUCACUGAUUCCUCCUUCCCUAUGAACCGUAAUGCCAUUAAUUUGGUGUUGCGGGAAAUUUGGACUGUUACUUUGAAAAAUUAGAGUGUUUAAAGCAAGCUAAACGCUUGAAUACAUUAGCAUGGAAUAAUGAAAUAGGACGUUCGAUCUUAUUUUGUUGGUUUCUAGGAUUGACGUAAUGAUUAAUAGGGAUAGUUGGGGGCAUUAGUAUUCAAUUGUCAGAGGUGAAAUUCUUGGAUUUAUUGAAGACUAAUACUGCGAAAGCAUUUGCCAAG